GUACCAGUACUGAGUCAAUGUGGAGGUUAUAUACAGGGGGUACCAGUACUGAGUCAAUGUGGAGGUCAUAUACAGGGGGUACCAGUACUGAGUCAAUGUGGAGGUCAUAUACAGGGGGUACCAGUACUGAGUCAAUGUGGAGGUCAUAUACAGGGGGUACCAGUACUGAGUCAAUGUGGAGGCUAUAUACAGGGGGUACCAGUACUGAGUCAAUGUGGAGGUCAUAUACAGGGGGUACCAGUACUGAGUCAAUGUGGAGGUCAUAUACAGGGGGUACCAGUACUGAGUCAAUGUGGAGGCUAUAUACAGGGGGUACCAGUACUGAGUCAAUGUGGAGGCUAUAUACAGGGGGUACCAGUACUGAGUCAAUGUGGAGGUCAUAUACAGGGGGUACCAGUACUGAGUCAAUGUGGAGGCUAUAUACAGGGGGUACCAGUACUGAGUCAAUGUGGAGGUUAUAUACAGGGGGUACCAGUACUGAGUCAAUGUGGAGGUUAUAUACAGGGGGUACCAGUACUGAGUCAAUGUGGAGGUUAUAUACAGGGGGUACCAGUACUGAGUCAAUGUGGAGGUUAUAUACAGGGGGUACCAGUACUGAGUCAAUGUGGAGGUUAUACACAGGGGGUACCAGUACUGAGUCAAUGUGGAGGUUAUACACAGGGGGUACCAGUACUGAGUCAAUGUGGAGGUUAUACACAGGGGGUACCAGUACUGAGUCAAUGUGGAGGUUAUAUACAGGGGGUACCAGUACUGAGUCAAUGUGGAGGUUAUACACAGGGGGUACCAGUACUGAGUCAAUGUGGAGGUUAUAUACAGGGGGUACCAGUACUGAGUCAAUGUGGAGGCUAUAUACAGGGGGUACCAGUACAGAGUCAAU
This is a long non-coding RNA of Oncorhynchus keta (chum salmon), 877 nucleotides long. RefSeq lists it as uncharacterized. The record is from RefSeq and is a predicted model, not a curated record. NCBI's taxonomy places the organism in Eukaryota, Metazoa, Chordata, Actinopteri, Salmoniformes, Salmonidae. The transcript has 4 exons.